Molecule: ribosomal RNA, 468 nt
Filed under: uncultured bacterium
Lineage: Bacteria
Description: partial 16S ribosomal RNA
Rfam family: Bacterial small subunit ribosomal RNA
Source: RNAcentral
GACGAACGCUGACGGCGUGCUUAACACAUGCAAGUCGAACGGAAAGGCCCUGCUUUUGUGGGGUGCUCGAGUGGCGAACGGGUGAGUAACACGUGAGUAACCUGCCCUUGACUUUGGGAUAACUUUAGGAAACUGGGGCUAAUACCGGAUAGGAGCUCCUGCUGCAUGGUGGGGGUUGGAAAGUUUCGGCGGUUGGGGAUGGACUCGCGGCUUAUCAGCUUGUUGGUGGGGUAGUGGCUUACCAAGGCUUUGACGGGUAGCCGGCCUGAGAGGGUGACCGGCCACAUUGGGACUGAGAUACGGCCCAGACUCCUACGGGAGGCAGCAGUGGGGAAUAUUGCACAAUGGGCGGAAGCCUGAUGCAGCAACGCCGCGUGCGGGAUGACGGCCUUCGGGUUGUAAACCGCUUUCGCCUGUGACGAAGCGUGAGUGACGGUAAUGGGUAAAGAAGCACCGGCUAACUACGUG